This is a long non-coding RNA of Monomorium pharaonis (pharaoh ant), 718 nucleotides long. RefSeq lists it as uncharacterized. NCBI's taxonomy places the organism in Eukaryota, Metazoa, Arthropoda, Insecta, Hymenoptera, Formicidae. The transcript is spliced from 2 exons. The record is from RefSeq and is a predicted model, not a curated record.
GACAGGAUUUUUUCGAGUUAACGCAUGUGUUUUCAACGAGACAGACUACAAGCUCCAAGCGUCACUUGGAGAAUCUUCAGACUACACGUUCGAAAGAUGCUUUGUACAGCAUUUAUACUUAAUUUAUACUUUGAGCGGUCUUUCAGAAUAGAAGUAUAUUAUUACGAUUCGGCGACGCUGAUGGAAAUGCACAUUCGCUGUUUUUAUAUCAAAAGUGGGGAUAAAGGCAGACAUGAAAAAUACAGGAUGAUACAAUAACAAUGCCAUCAACGUGUCUUUGCGUUAAGCUAUUGCUGUACGCGACGUCGAAUUCAGCUUCGUUCGACACAUUACGAGACAAUUUAAUGACGAUUGCCCGGAGAGAACGAGUGCGAUUAGUGAUGAAGAAGAGAAAAAUGGCCCCGAUUAGAUGUUACAUUCGUCCAAAAGAUAACGUUUCAUAUUUCUAAAGUGUUUGAUAUUGUUAAUCAUACUUAUGAUACUAAAAGAAUGAGUAACGUGAAAGAAUAUAAUGUGUUAUUUUAUGUGCGAUUAUAUGAUUAUACGAACUAAAUCAACGAAAAAAACAUAUAAAUUCUAUUAUUAUAUCUCGAAGGAAAUGCAAUAUAAAGAAAAUAUAUUUUUAACAUUUUGUUAAAUAAUAUUGUUGUAAAAGAUCGGAUACUUUAUCCGCUUAGUGAAAAUAAAGAUAAUAAUAAAUUUUCUGUAUAAGAGAGAA